GGGACUAAAAAUAUAUUCACAGAAAAACAUUAUAGGCGCCACCCCCACCAGUUCUGCCCCAAAUCGAAUCCUCCUUCCCAUCCCAGCCCUCCCGCCGGACCAACGCCGCCGCCGAGCCCCUCCGCCCUCUACAGCCCCCUCCACCGCUGACCUGUUCAACCUCCACCAAUAUUAAUGGUGCCGGCGCAUCGAGGUCGACGUCGCUUCCCUCCACACCCAUCUGGUGUGCGAGGUGGACAUCGACUUCCUCCCUUAGGCUCCGCCAUCGAGAUUGGUCAACGCCGUCGGUGCUCGACGCUUGCCUCCCUCCUCAGCACCAGAUCCCACGACAGCACCGAGCCCCUCCAUCGUGUUGCAAGCCCGCCGACGGCAAGCACAUGAGGAAGCGGUGCUUCUUGGCUCCUCUACCAUCUCUAGGUCGUCGCGCCACCACCAUGCCUCCACGCUGAUCUACAUCUGACGACCAUGGGCGGGCUUCCUCAACCCCAACGGCGAGCGCAGUGCGUGCUCCUCACUACACUGGUACAAAAGGCCGCUCAGAUCUGUCAAGGUGGAAACCAGAUGCAAGUACUGAAGACAUCUAAUGAAUGUUGGGAUCCUUUUCCCCUGUUUGUCUUUGAAGGAUUUGUAUGUAGAAUAAUGAGAUGUAUAGGGGGGUUCAGUUACAGAGGCAGUUGCUAUCAUCAAUUCAUCAUGCACAUACAUGCUAGUUCCUCAAUAUCUUAAUUCUCCUCAUGCUCACCUGAUUAAUUCAGUGCAUGUUAAACAUUUUUUACGUCUUUUUCAGUUAUAGGUACUGCUCCUCUCUGAAUAGGUCGCUAGAAGAACCCCCAUCUUUAAUUUUGCCUAAACUUGUAACAGGUUGUGGAUUAAUAAAGGUUACUUUUUCUGUAAAAUUUGUACGCUCAGUUGUGGACUGGACUGCAGUGCUUUCUCUAAAAAAAACUUCAUACCUUGUUCUCAUAAUUUCAGAAAACUAUUCUUAACGGUUUUGUAGGUUGACGGCGGAUACUUGAGAGUAUUUGGUUUAUGUAACUUCUGAGCAGGUUCAUUGAUUCUAGAGUUGCAUCCUUCUGUUAUGUGUAGAUGUAGAUGUAAAAGAAACAGUAAGUAAUCUCCCUUUCUUUUCAUUUACAUUUGUUAUAAUUUUAUAUGACAUGUCUUAUUGCAGCUAUGCAUUGCUGCAAUUGUACAGAUCGCUUAUGAUAAAAAGGGAAUAAUAUUUUGUCCAAACUGAGCAGAUGAGAGAAUAAUAAUGCUUAUUUUCUGAUGAAAAAUGUGGCUUCAGUAAUAGCCUACAGUAGCUUUGGACCGAACUAGACGGGCACUCUCUGCUACCUUGCAAGUCUGUGUGUAACCUCACAUGAAAGUAUACUCAUUCACGUGCUGCUAUACUAUCUCCUAAUGCCUUCCCCUAAUAACAGAGGCCGUAAUCAAUACAUGUCAGGAAUAUGUCCUCAUCUAUACACAUAAAUAUCUACUACUGUACAUUGCAUCUAAUUUAUUGUAUGCUUUCUUGGUCUAAUGAACUGGAAUUGAAGUCAUGUUUUGGUUUGUUCUUAAAUCUCACGUAUGUACCUGAAUACCAUCUAUGGUUUACUUUCUUAGAUACAUUAAAUUUUAGUAAGUUUCAUGGAAACAAUUUUGCACAUCUAAAUUAUGGUGCGACCCCUUCUGAUUAUGUGUUGAUGAUCAUAAUGGAUUAUGGAAUGGUAAGAUACUCUAAAGCUUCUGAUUGCUAUCUGCACUAUUUUAUAUUUAAAACAUGAUUCAUAUAUGAUAUUUUGCAAUUUGUUAUCCUCCCAUAAUCACCCAGUUAAUGAAUUCCGCCAUUAAAAGUAUACCAAAUGCUCUUUUAUUACUGUAUUUUACACUCUUAGGUACAACUUAUUUGUUUUGUUGUUUUUACUAGGGAGAAACUUCAUUGUGCUGUCAAGUGAUCAAACUAACAGUUUUCCUUGAUCUGGCACAGAUUUUAUAGAAGUAGCUGGAAACUAGAAUCAGGAGCACGUAUACUUUCUUUCGAGUUAUUGUUUGAGCUUUGAUCUAAGUUAGCAGAAUUAUUUUUUGUAACAUGGUUCUCAUCUCUGAACACAUGUUGUUUCUUUUAUGUUAUGAUUUUUUAAAACAAAACACAUUAAUUGACAUAUAAUUUGUUAGCUUUAUAUAACGUUUUAAUUCUCUGAAAUCAAUUAUUGCAAAGAUUCAUUGCCAGUGCUCCAUGUUGUAAAGAUUCAAUGCUUUUAGUGGCUAUAUUAAUCCAAAGUUCUCUUUAAAUGGUUAUCUCAUUACAUUCAGCAGCUUUCAUCUGUACCAUCUUAUCUGUUCAGGUUGGCAUCACACUGGAAGAUAUUCUGGGAAACAUGUAGUUGUACUAGUGAACUAGGAUGUUUACAUGGUGAUUCAUCUGUUCAUAGUGACAUCACAAUCAAGUGGGGUGAGGCUAUCAAUCUGUGAUCUUUCAAGCAUUGCAAGUUUGGUGCUCUUCUGCUGGAUACAUGGGGCCCUCUUUGAAUAAUGCAGUUUCACAUGAUGAUGGCGAGUCUGGUAUUCAGAACAUCUCAUGAAAAUGGCAAUGUCAUUUGGCAAACGGCUGAGCUGAAAUAUACACAAGUGUGAACAUGCCAUUGUUUCCUAGACAUAGUUGUAGCCAUAUGUCAAGAUCAAACCGUUAGUGUAGCUUAGUUUGAAGACAUGACAUCUUAUUGUCACAUGUAAAUUAUGUUUACCGAUGUGGUUGGUGGCUACUGAACACAUCUAUGGAUGUUGAAAUCUUGAAUUUGUAGUUUGAAUAUGUUUCAGGUCUGCUAUUGAAUCUCGAGUGAAAUGAUGUACGAUGCGUCUGCUAUUGAAUCUUGAGUGAUUUGAUGUA
Long non-coding RNA from Triticum urartu, 2872 nucleotides. RefSeq lists it as uncharacterized. NCBI's taxonomy places the organism in Eukaryota, Viridiplantae, Streptophyta, Magnoliopsida, Poales, Poaceae. The record is from RefSeq and is a predicted model, not a curated record.